Long non-coding RNA from Frieseomelitta varia, 2883 nucleotides. RefSeq lists it as uncharacterized. The record is from RefSeq and is a predicted model, not a curated record. Lineage: Eukaryota; Metazoa; Arthropoda; Insecta; Hymenoptera; Apidae. The transcript is spliced from 3 exons.
UUUUAUUCUUACAUCUGUAUAAAAAGAUUUCAUUUAUGAUUAUAUGAGCAAUCAUUCAAUAAUACUUCGAUGACGAUUACAAACUUGACAACGCUUGGAAAGAAGCGCCGACCAAAUUUCUUUUUUUGAUUUGGGAAUACUGAUUUCAAACUUUUUUGAGAAAUCUUUGUUACUGUUAUGAGAAUUUAUUUAAGAUUACAAUAUUUUAUAUGAAAUUGAUCUUUAGAAUCGGUUUGUCAUCAUUGUUCGAUGAUGUUAAAGGAUUAAGUAGGAUUUGCCAACGAGGAAAAAGAGAGGCCGUGCCAAGAGCGUUUAAUGACACCUUUAUGUAAGACAUCUUGUGACAUUAGUAAAAGAAAUGACUUUUAUUUUGUUUGUAAACAUACAACAAUGUACAAUAGAAGAGAAAGAUAACAUGUUGUUAAUAUAAGAAAAUAUGAAGAAUUAAACAACGAAAAUGCUGUCAACUACAAGGGAAGAAUGGUCGAAGAAGAAUGUGAGUAAAAUUCAAUAAUAAUGAAAGAAGAUAAAUUAGAUGCAUCUAGCAGUUUGGAUGAGCAUAAAUUCACAAAGUUGAAACUUUGAUCAUUUUGCAAACUCCUGACUGACUACCAAUGAUUAACCAUUUAUAAUUACGAGGAUACUUGGCACGUGAUGCAGCAUUUAUAGAUCGCGCCUCGAUUUAAUCGUUGUAGUUUCAAUUAUUUUUCUGGCUACUUGUCAUCAGAAGCGUGGAUCCGUGAAUCCAGUCGAUGCCAACAAUCGAAAAAUAGAUCCAAACGCAACCUGUUCGAAAUAGUUGGCGUAAAACCUGUAACGUUUAAUGUCAGCACAUUGAACACAUAGAUCGGUAUUGGAAUACCGACAUUAUGGUCAGCAUUUGAAUACAAAAUACGACACAAGUUAAAUGACUACUCGUGACGAACGAGUUAACGUGUUUAUUAUUUCAGAUGACUUCUAUCAAUAGAUUGAUCGAGUUUUGAACGGUAAGAUCGUACUAUUCAAUGAUUAACAGCUAAUCUCAAAGAUAUUCAACCCUCCGAUAGAAAUUGACCAUAUUAAUCGUAGUAUUUUUGACAAGAAUUUGCAGGUGGUAGAUUUCUGCGAUUCACAGGACAAAUGGAGAUCAUGCUCGAAGGUAUCUAAGCUAAAGGGAAGGAAAUCUAAUUAUAGAAGUCGUUGUACCGCGUGCUGAAAGUGGUGGAGGGUGUGAGUACGGGUGCACGAAUGAGAAUUGGUUGCAUUGGGCGACCAUAAAAUGCAGGCUGCAUCCGCUUGCCGCAGAUGUACUUGAAAUGGAGCUCCAGUACCACGACCAAAAGGAUCUCUCGUUUUGAGAUUCUGUGCCCUACCAGAUAUCGAGGACAAUGAACUUGAAGUCUACACGAUAGAAACAGAUUCCAUGGAUUCUUGUUUUACAGAAGAUCGAUCGCGAAAGGAAUAGAUGCCCUUGAAAUCAGAAGGCAGAGAUGAAAGAGAAAGGGAGAAGGAGAAAGAAGAAACGCGUGUGUCUCUUUGAGAAGGAGUUAAAGAAGAAACGGAGGAGAGGUAAACGAGAUCUGGCGGCGGCUGGUGCAGCGGAUGUUUGAAGCUGCUGAAAGUGAGGCGGUGGUUCCUUACGCGUUCUUUCUUCGUCUUUCCUGCUGCGUUUCCUUCAUCAGUUAGCCACGAUCGCGGUAAAACACGGCCCGCGGAGGAAGCACCUCGGCGGAUGUGAUGUUUAGGACAUGGCCCGGACAAAAAACUCUUUCUGUAUAAAUAGGUAACAGUGGUUGGUCUUGGCAUUGUUAUUUAAUUUUUGACCCACAUAUUUGAUUGUUUACGAAAGCGCAUAUUUCCUUCUUUUUUUCUUGCACUCUUUUUUCUUUCUUCUUUUAUAGCAAUGUUGUAUGGCUUUUGUAUAAAAAGGAUAAUUACGUGUAUCAAUGAAAAAUGAAUGUUUUGUUGUUUCGUUUCUUUUGGUUGGAUGGCAAGAAGAUAAUAGUCCUAAUGAAGCUGCAAAUGCAUUAGUAACACGAUCACUGUAAAGAACCGCAACACUUGUUGGCCUGUUUCCACUUGGGUUUCGGAAGCCAAAUCUUUUCUGACCUGCAACCUGCUGGGUCAAAAGAAUACGAUCCUCUUUGCUAGUGGUUUGAGUCAUGUUAUAGCAACAAGAAAAAACAAUGUGAUACUCGGCGCGUGAAUUAAGUCAGAUAUGCUCGACACGUGGUUGUCGAUAUUCCAGGCUCCUGCCGAGAAACACAGACCUCCCAGUGUCAUCCGACCACCAUGUGUACGCGAGUCCGAUGAAAUCCCUCUCAGGUUUUGAAAUUAUCUUCUAUUUGUCGUGGUAUUACCGAAACCGAAUGAUAUGUUAAAAAAAAAAAAAAAAAAAAAAAAAACAGAAAGAAACCGUCCGAAAGACCAACGCACGGUUACACCUCCUUGGUGUACUCGAUGGAAAUUUAAAUAGAUUCUUUCGAAGCGACAAGUGCUCUGCAUAUAUGUACUCUGUGGGAGAGUCUGAUAUCUUUUUUGUAAAAGGAUAAUAUAAAAAAUGGUGAAGGACAUCUGAGAAUUGAUAAGAAUAGAUCGACGUUGGUGGAAGUUGAAAAUUCUAAACAUUAUAUUAUAAUAAUAAAAUUAAUGUUGAUCAGUAGUUGCAAGCGGUGUAAGUCAAGCUGAAAACAACUGCUGUAGUUGUAUUUUCCUUUGCGGUUGUCACCUGCUCUUACUGCUUGACCAAUUGAUGUAAACCGACGUCUGCCACCACCAGUGUGCACCAGGCCUGUACUCAUUUUGGACGAAUAUGACACCCUUACUUUUACGAUACUUUGCAUAUGCCUCUUAAACUCGUUAUUGUUUAUCUUUGCUAAACGCUUUACGUGUUCAAAUGUAAAU